This 75-nucleotide transfer RNA is filed under the name Terrabacter tumescens. RNAcentral describes it as "tRNA-Pro". It matches the Rfam family "tRNA". From Rfam's summary of the family: Transfer RNA (tRNA) molecules are approximately 80 nucleotides in length. Their secondary structure includes four short double-helical elements and three loops (D, anti-codon, and T loops). The record is from RNAcentral. RNAcentral also lists the same sequence under 6 other names. Lineage: Bacteria; Bacillati; Actinomycetota; Actinomycetes; Micrococcales; Intrasporangiaceae.
CGGGGUGUGGCGCAGCUUGGUAGCGCAUUGCGUUUGGGACGCAAGGGCCGCAGGUUCAAAUCCUGUCACCCCGAC